Molecule: ribosomal RNA, 724 nt
Filed under: uncultured Gammaproteobacteria bacterium
Lineage: Bacteria; Pseudomonadati; Pseudomonadota; Gammaproteobacteria
Description: bacterial SSU rRNA
Rfam family: Bacterial small subunit ribosomal RNA
Source: RNAcentral
AUGACGCUGGCGGCAGGCUACACUGCAAGGUCAAACGGUAACAGGAUGUGCUUGCACAUCGCUGACGAGUGGCGGACGGGUGAGUAAUGCUUAGGGAUCUGCCUCUGUGUGGGGGAUAACUAUUGGAAACGAUAGCUAAUACCGCAUAAUGUUUACGGACCAAAGGGGGCGUUUGCUCCCGCGCAGAGAGGAACCUAAGUGAGAUUAGCUAGUUGGUAAGGUAAUGGCUUACCAAGGCGACGAUCUCUAGCUGUUCUGAGAGGAAGAUCAGCCACACUGGGACUGAGACACGGCCCAGACUCCUACGGGAGGCAGCAGUGGGGAAUAUUGCACAAUGGGGGGAACCCUGAUGCAGCCAUGCCGCGUGUGUGAAGAAGGCCUUCGGGUUGUAAAGCACUUUCAGUUGUGAGGAAAGGUUAGUAGUUAAUACCCGCUAGCUGUGACGUUAGCAACAGAAGAAGCACCGGCUAACUCCGUGCCAGCAGACGCGGUAAUACGGAGGGUGCGAGCGUUAAUCGGAAUUACUGGGCGUAAAGCGCACGCAGGCGGUUCUGUUAAGCUAGAUGUGAAAGCCCCGAGCUCAAACUUGGGAUGGUCACUUUAGAACUGGCAAGACUAGAAGUCUUGGGAGAGGGGAGUGGAAUUUCUAAUGUAGCCGGUGAAAUGCGUCGAUUAUUACCAAGGAACCAUCAGUGGCGAAGGCGAAUCCUUGGCCAAAGACUGA